CCAAUAGCGUAUAUUAAAGUUGUUGCAGUUAAAAAGCUCGUAGUUGAAUUUCGGGGUCAGCAAGUUGGUCGUGCCACUGGUAUGUACUGGCUUUACUGAUUCCUCCUUCUUGUAGAACCGUAAUGCCAUUAAUUUGGUGUUGCGGGGAAACAGGACUGUUACUUUGAAAAAAUUAGAGUGUUUAAAGCAGGCUAACGCCUGAAUACAUUAGCAUGGAAUAAUGAAAUAGGACGUUCGAUCCUAUUUUGUUGGUUUCUAGGGUUGACGUAAUGAUUAAUAGGGAUAGUUGGGGGCAUUAGUAUUCAAUUGUCAGAGGUGAAAUUCUUGGAUUUAUUGAAGACUAACUACUGCGAAAGCAUUUGCCAAGGAUGUUUUCAUUAAUCAAGAACGAAAGUUAGGGGAUCGAAGACGAUCAGAUACCGUCGUAGUCUUAACCAUAAACUAUGCCGACUAGGGAUCGGAUGAUGUUAAUUUUUUAAUGACUCAUUCGGCGCCUUACG
Molecule: ribosomal RNA, 500 nt
Filed under: uncultured Glomeromycotina
Lineage: Eukaryota; Fungi; Glomeromycota
Description: partial small subunit ribosomal RNA
Rfam family: Eukaryotic small subunit ribosomal RNA
Source: RNAcentral